GACAGAGGUGCCGAGCGUUAGGCGGAAUCACUGGGCUUAAAGCGUGUGUAGGCGGACCGUUAAGUACCUUGUGAAAUCCCCCGGCUCAACCGGGGAACGGCUGGGUAUACUGGCGGUCUUGAGCCAUCCAGGGGCAGUCGGAACAGACGGUGGAGCGGUGAAAUGCGUAGAGAUCCGGAGGAACACCGACGGCGAAGGCAGCGCCCUGGACGAGAUCUGACGCUCAGGCACGAAAGCUGGGGGAGCAAACAGG
RNAcentral lists this ribosomal RNA (253 nucleotides) under uncultured bacterium. RNAcentral describes it as "partial 16S ribosomal RNA". It matches the Rfam family "Bacterial small subunit ribosomal RNA", at positions 524 to 776 of the family's 1533-position model. The record is from RNAcentral.